Molecule: long non-coding RNA, 311 nt
Filed under: Androctonus crassicauda
Lineage: Eukaryota; Metazoa; Arthropoda; Arachnida; Scorpiones; Buthidae
Source: RNAcentral
GGCUGGCUGUCCUGACCCACUCUGGACCCUGCUGGAUGUCACUUUUGUCACAGGUCCAUGUGCAUCAUCAGAGCCUAAUCUGGUCUGUGCAGCAUGACCUCCUGCUCUAAGAUGGUGACCAGACCUGCUUCCUGCCUAGCCUCAGCCCAGUGAACCACCAUUGAGGGCGUUUAAGAUAAUGUUCCAGCCCCGCCUUCCUGUUCAGUUUGGUUUCUCUUUGAGCAGCCCAUGCAACUGUAUUUAUUUUUGAUGACAGCACUCCCUCUACAGAAGUUUUUAUUCUGCCUAAUCAUUUCACUGGUGGCUGAAGG